GAUGAACGCUGGCGGCGUGCCUAAUACAUGCAAGUCGAGCGAACGGACGAGAAGCUUGCUUCUCUGAUGUUAGCGGCGGACGGGUGAGUAACACGUGGAUAACCUACCUAUAGGACUGGGAUAACUUCGGGAAACCGGAGCUAAUACCGGAUAAUAUUUUGAACCGCAUGGUUCAAAAGUGAAAGACGGUCUUGCUGUCACUUAUAGAUGGAUCCGCGCUGCAUUAGCUAGUUGGUAAGGUAACGGCUUACCAAGGCGACGAUGCAUAGCCGACCUGAGAGGGUGAUCGGCCACACUGGGACUGAGACACGGUCCAGACUCCUACGGGAGGCAGCAGUAGGGAAUCUUCCGCAAUGGGCGAAAGCCUGACGGAGCAACGCCGCGUGAGUGAUGAAGGUCUUCGGAUCGUAAAACUCUGUUAUUAGGGAAGAACAUAUGUGUAAGUAACUGUGCACAUCUUGACGGUACCUAAUCAGAAAGCCACGGCUAACUACGUG
Molecule: ribosomal RNA, 497 nt
Filed under: uncultured bacterium
Lineage: Bacteria
Description: partial 16S ribosomal RNA
Rfam family: Bacterial small subunit ribosomal RNA
Source: RNAcentral